RNAcentral lists this ribosomal RNA (253 nucleotides) under uncultured bacterium. RNAcentral's name for it is "partial 16S ribosomal RNA". It matches the Rfam family "Bacterial small subunit ribosomal RNA", at positions 524 to 776 of the family's 1533-position model. The record is from RNAcentral.
UACGAAGGGGGCUAGCGUUGCUCGGAAUCACUGGGCGUAAAGGGCGCGUAGGCGGCCAUUCAAGUCGGAGGUGAAAGCCCAGGGCUCAACCCUGGAAUUGCCUUCGAUACUGUUUGGCUAGAGACCGGAAGAGGUAAGUGGAACUGCGAGUGUAGAGGUGAAAUUCGUAGAUAUUCGCAAGAACACCAGUGGCGAAGGCGGCUCACUGGCCCAUUACUGACGCUGAGGCACGAAAGCGUGGGGAGCAAACAGG